AUGACUAUAGAAACCUGUCCUUCCCCAGAAGCAGCAUCAAUGCAGACUAAUUGGAUUUUGAUUAUUUUAUCCGUCUUGGUGACCAUGGGACUGCUGAUGGUGGCCCAGAGCCAGUAUCAACUGAAGAGCAUUCUGGACAGCAAGAUUAAAAAAAUGGAUGUAGCGUUUGAGCAAUUUACUGUUGACUAUCUAAGUAAGGACGUCUUCAAAACCUCUGUGGAAAAACUGCUGGUUCAGAGCCAGGAAGAAGUGAAUAAUCUGGAAGCUGCACUCAAUAAACUCAGUUCAGAAACGGAGCAGAAGAAAAUGGAAAACGAUGCAUGCCAAGAACAAAUGAAAACCACACAAGUAGAGCUGGAAAGUAUCCAAAAGACACAAAGUGAAACUAAAGCUUCCUUGGAUGCAGAGGUUGAGGCCUGGACUAAGGAGAUUAACACUCUGAAAGAAAUACAGACACAAUACAGUCCAGUAUGUGCCUAUGUGAAGACGAGCAAGUUAGCUGAGAAAUUCUGUGGCAUAAACACAAACAAUGAAACAGCUUCGGAUAAGGAUAAAACCAAUGAGAAUAAAGUUAAUAAUUAA
This 582-nucleotide long non-coding RNA is filed under the name Oreochromis niloticus (Nile tilapia). RNAcentral describes it as "lncRNA (ENSONIG00000035311.1)". The record is from RNAcentral. Lineage: Eukaryota; Metazoa; Chordata; Actinopteri; Cichliformes; Cichlidae.